Molecule: RNA transcript, 1345 nt
Organism: Malania oleifera
Lineage: Eukaryota; Viridiplantae; Streptophyta; Magnoliopsida; Santalales; Ximeniaceae
Exons: 4
Source: RefSeq, a predicted model, not a curated record
ACCUCACAGACUCGCACUGCUCUCUCUCUCUCUCUCUCUCUCGAUCUGUGGUAUCCGCGACUUCAUCUUCACAGACCAUGCAAAGACAGUCUCUAGGUUCGCCAGGUUCGAAGCACCACCACGGCCAUGGCGCAGUGGGACUUGGAUCGAAGGAUGAAGCUCUCGCAGUCGAAGAUCUGAAGAGAUUCGAAGGGACCUCGUCUCUCCCCGACGAGGAAGAGCGCAAGCCUCAGAAGCAUCUCCGCUCGCCUCCAUCUCCUCCUCACAAGCUUGUCCACCUCAUCCCUCUCCUCACUUUUAUCUGCUUCUUCGUCCUCUACCUUUGCUCGCACGAUCCCUCCCGAUCAGAUUUGGCUAAUUUCAAUGGAUUCAAGCGAUCGGCGAUGGAUUUAGAUUCAACGGAGACGCGGAUAGGCGAGUUCGGACGAUUCGUAGAGUUGGACAAAGGCGAUGUAGUAGCGAUUCGAAGCCUCAGGAAGCUGCAACAAAUCGGCGGAGAGCCUCCAAUAUUUCGCCUGCACAGAAAACUCGGCGAUUUCUAGGCCGCAUUCUAGGCUUCUCUGUUCCUCUAUGCUAUUCUUUCCAUUCCUCCUCCGCGCUGGCACGCAGACUCCGCGAGGAACCGCACGGGCGUCAGAGUGCAGUAAGCUAACGUGCGCUUGGUGGGGGAGGGGGGUGGGAGCUCAGAAUAGCAGAGAACAGGAGAGGAUGCGCAGGGACUGGGAGGCAGGGAAGGGGGAGCGUUGGAUUCCAGCUGGUGGCUGGUGGCUGGUCAGUGGACGCCGUGAGUGCACAUCGGGAGGAGCGGUUGGGUACCAGCUGGAAAAGUACUUUUUUCUUAAUAAUGGUAAAUAAUAAUUAAUAAUGAUCUGGAAUCUGGUGCUAUCAGCCUGUUCCCUCGUGCCUGCCCAGUGCCAGAGUGGCGUCUUUCUCUUCCCAUUAACUGCCGUUUAAUGAGACAAUGAUCCCAUCACCGAUCGAUGCGUGCUUUUUGCGUGAUGUGUGGUCCUGCGGAGCUUUGAAAAAUAUAAACAAGCCAGCAAAUUAUUCGGAGCAAGGUCCGAGAAUGCCAGGGAGUCAUGCUCAAAUUUAUUAAUCCUGUACAACCUCAAGCCGAAUUCAAAUUGCACUUCAAUAAUUUUGCUCAGAUUUCUUAAUCAUACAAAUAAAUAUUUUUAUGAGUCCUUAUGGACUAAAUUAUCAAGAUUUAGUGCAAUUGAUUAAAAAAUUAAAUGUUUUUUAAGUAAUUUCGGAAGUCGUGUGUAUGUAGUGAAAAAUAUUAUCCUUCUGAUAAGUAUUUUUAUUGUUAUUUAAAAUUAAUUGUAUUAGUAAAUAUUUUUACUUA